AUGGACAAGGAAUGGCUUCAUAUAAGGAACCAGUAUCAGAAUGACAACAGGCAAAGCCCUUCCAGCACAGAGCUGGAGGCCGAAGGCAGAAAGCCAUGCUUUCAAAUCCAGAGGGAACUCUGUAUGCAGAGGCCAUACUUGGAGCUGAAAAGGUCUCAUGAUUAGUUUGGACUUACAACAUGAAGGAUGUGGAAGAAGCUACAGGCAAAGCCUCAGCCAGCCUACAGGGGGAUUUCUAGGAAAGAUUAAGCUAAGAAAGCUCCCCAAGAGUGAGCAGAAGCCAAUGAUGGCCCACAUCUAAAAAGGUCCAGGAUGAGGCAUGGCUAUUUGUCUGCCCAACUUUGCCUCUUGCUCAUCCGUCUCCUCUACUGCUACAUCCUUCACUGGCAUCAGAGUCUAGCUUCUCCAGGUCUGACAUAGACUGAAGACCAAAGGCUCUCCAGGAAUCUUUCAAGCCUUCAACACCUGUUGAAGCAUCCAGCUUCAUGAACUGGGGAGUCACCUCAUCUCAGCCUCUCCAGUGUAAAGACAGCCACUGUUGGACAAAGCCCUGUUGGUUGUAAGGCCUUCUAGUAAACCUCCUCCCGCUUCUGAAAUGAUAUAGUCUGUCAGUUCUGAUCCUUUAGGGCCUGCCUCAUGCCGAGUGGAUGGGGAAGAACGGUCACGUCAGACUUGUAAAUGUGGCCUACCCAUAGUGCUUUAGAGACAAGGUGCACUGCACUGAGCACACUUAGACAACAGAGGGCCCAGAAUAAAAGGAAUGCCAAGAGGGAAUGGAAGUCCCCUGCCCCUACCUCCAAAUGGAUGUAUUGACUUUUUUCUUUCUUUCUUUUUUUUAAAAAAGGAGUAAUCAGUUGACGUUGGCUCGCAGUUCAGAAGGGACAGUCUCUAUCACACCAGGGAAGACACAACAGUAAGACUGGUCUCUGCUCAUGACAUUUAGAACAUGAGGUAACUGGCCACGGCGGCUGGCAGUCAGGAUGCAGCAAAAUUUUAUCAGAAGCAGGGCUAGACUAGCUAUUUAAAAAAAAAAAAAAAAAAAAAAAAAAAAGCGCUCCACCAGCAGAGCAAGAUGCCCUAAGGGAAGAAGGCCAAGGGUAAGAAGGUGGCCCCGGCCCCCGCCGUUGUCAAGAAGCAGGAGGCCAAGAAGGUGGUCAACCCUCUGUUUGAGAAGAGGCCCAAGAACUUCGGCAUUGGGCAGGACAUCCAGUCCAAAAGAGAUCUAAUGCGCUUCGUCAAAUGGCCCCACUACAUCAGGCUGCAGCGGCAAAGAGCCAUCCUCUAUAAGCGGUUCAAAGUACCUCCUGCCAUUAACCAGUUCACCCAGGCCCUGGACAGGCAAACAGCUACUCAGCUGCCUAAGCUUGCUCACAAGUACAGACCAGAAGCAAAGCAAGAGAAGAAGCAAAGGCUACUGGCCCGUACUGAGAAGAAAGCUGCCGGCAAAGGCGACGUCCCAACUAAGAGACCACCUGUCCUCCGAGCAGGAGUCAAUACAGUCACCACCUUGGUGGAGAACAAGAAGGCUCAGCUGGUGGUGAUUGACCAUGAUGUAGACCCCAUUGAGCUGGUGGUUUUCCCGCCUGCCCUGUGUCGAAAGAUGGGAGUGCCCUACUGCAUCAUCAAGGGAAAGGCCAGGCUGGGGUGCCUGGUCCACAGGAAGACAUGCACCACUGUUGUCCUCACACAGGUUAACUCGGAAGACAAGGGUGCUCUGGUUAAGCUGGUGGAAGCUAUUGGGACCAAUUAUAAUGACAGAUAUGACGAGAUCUGUCACCACUGGGGAGGCAACGUCCUGGGUCCUAAGUCUGGGGUCGCAUCGCCAAGCUGGAAAAGCAAAGGCUAAAGAACCUGUCACUAAAUUGGGUUAAAUGUACACUAAGUUUUCUGUACAUAAAUAUAACUACAAAAUUAAAAAAAGCAGAAACAAACAACAAAACAAAAACCCCACCACCAAGAAAAAAACAGAUUAUGCUG
This is an RNA transcript of Mus musculus (house mouse), 1977 nucleotides long. It is a transcript of the gene named predicted gene 5766, with no coding region annotated. Lineage: Eukaryota; Metazoa; Chordata; Mammalia; Rodentia; Muridae. The record is from RefSeq and is marked provisional. The transcript has a single exon.